This 551-nucleotide long non-coding RNA is filed under the name Ananas comosus (pineapple). Its description in RNAcentral is "long non-coding RNA (ACOM_LNC005383)". The record is from RNAcentral. Lineage: Eukaryota; Viridiplantae; Streptophyta; Magnoliopsida; Poales; Bromeliaceae.
UUAUCCUCGUCUAUUUGAAGAAAUGAGUUGAGGUAUGAGUUAUUGAGCUUAAAUUGAAUUUAGAUUGAAUUUGAGUUUCGAGGACGAAAUUUUUUUUUUUUGGAGGGGAGGAUGUAAGGUACCGAACUUCUUAAAUUAUAAAGUUACGGUGGGAUGUAAUAUGCUAAAUUUUUAAUAUAAAAAUAAAUAUAAAUAAAAAUAGUAUGAGAUACUAUUUUUAUUGGACUUGUAGGCAUAAAAUAUAAGUCUGGAAUGACCCGUGUUGAAAUCGGAGCGAAAACAGAAGAUUUAGAAUUUUCUGUGUGAAACGGGGUAGAUAAAUUAGCAAAAAAUGCACAGUGUCAGAAAAUUAUGAAAACUGGAGGAUAUGUCAGAAUUAUUUUUGUAAGGCUAGAAUUAAAGUUUCACCUCAUUCUGACACCCGAACGGUGGAAAAUAAAAUCCGACUGCUAUCUGCUAGAGAUGCUAUCUGCUAGAGAUUACAGUUUGGUAGGGCUUUCGGUGACCAAACGGGGUUGAAACUGAAAGAUUAAAAUUUUCUUUCGUUAAGU